AAUUCUCAACUUCAAAAGAUUUUACUUUCUUUUGAAGCUUGGACUUUGGAGGUUGUUUGCAGGCAUUUUAAAUGUCAGCUCCUCUUAAAAGCAUUAGCAGAACUUACAAGUGCUCAGCUAUUGGUUUGAUAAUAAAAUAUCUAUGCCAUGACUGUGCAAACUUCAAUACAAGUUCAGCUUCCAAUUGUCUUUGGACUGUCUCUUUGAGACACUUUUAA
RNAcentral lists this unclassified non-coding RNA (218 nucleotides) under uncultured Clavariaceae. RNAcentral's name for it is "sequence contains ITS2". Lineage: Eukaryota; Fungi; Basidiomycota; Agaricomycetes; Agaricales; Clavariaceae. The record is from RNAcentral.